AUGCACAUGCGGAGGUUGCAUCACCCGUUGCAUUGCAUGCACUGCCUGUCUUUAUCUUACAGCCAGGAGACGGUCUCAAGGAAGCAAACCACAAGAACCAACGCCGGUGCUGAAGUUGAACCGUCUCACCUUCUGAGCUUGGAGACCUUGCAAGCGGUGGAGAGGACGAUGGCGAUGAAGCGCCGCUCCGUGCUGGCUUUGCUCGUCGUGGCGUUCGUCGGAGGGAACCUGCUCCUCGGGGCCUCGUUUAGCGCCAGAAGCACGGUGAAGUCCUCAGCCUCAGACCCGGACUAUGGAACCGCUCAGCUAAACGGCAGGAGACUAAAGGAAAGUGGACACGGUGUUACCAACAGGAAGACUAGAAACUUACAAGAUGUGAAGGCUGAUGACUACCAACCUAUUGACCCAAGUCCAAGCUCGAAGGCAAGUAUUAGGCCAGCUCCAAUCGAGCAUGGCACUCCUCUUCUUCCUUAUGUGCCACGGUACCCGCCGCCUCCUGGUCAACCGAAGGAUGCGCGUUCUGCUCAAUCCGCUGCCUCUCCUGUCGCUUAG
RNAcentral lists this ribosomal RNA (552 nucleotides) under Triticum aestivum (bread wheat). RNAcentral's name for it is "partial small subunit ribosomal RNA". Lineage: Eukaryota; Viridiplantae; Streptophyta; Magnoliopsida; Poales; Poaceae. The record is from RNAcentral.